AGUGAACGUUGGCGGCGUGGAUUAGGCAUGCAAGUCGCGCGGAAAGGCCCCGCAAGGGGCACUCGAGCGGCGUAAGGGAUAGUAACACGUGGGUAACCUACCCCUGGGACUGGGAUAGCUGCGGGGAACUGCAGGUAAUACCGGAUAACGUCCCCGGACCAAAGGUGUGAUUCCGCCUGGGGAGGGGCCCGCGUCCUAUUAGCUAGUUGGCAGGGUAACGGCCUACCAAGGAAAAGAUGGGUAGGGGGUGUGAGAGCACGACCCCCAUCACUGGGACUGAGACACUGCCCAGACACCUACGGGUGGCUGCAGUCGAGAAUCUUCGGCAAUGGGCGCAAGCCUGACCGAGCGACGCCGCGUGCGGGAUGAAGGCCCUCGGGUUGUAAACCGCUGUCAGAGGGAAAGAAGUGCUGGGGGGUUCUCCCUUCAGUUUGACUGACCCUCAGAGGAAGUACGGGCUAAGUUCGUGCCAGCAGCCGCCGUAA
Molecule: ribosomal RNA, 485 nt
Filed under: uncultured bacterium
Lineage: Bacteria
Description: partial 16S ribosomal RNA
Rfam family: Bacterial small subunit ribosomal RNA
Source: RNAcentral